Aedes albopictus (Asian tiger mosquito) is the source of this 1471-nucleotide long non-coding RNA. RefSeq lists it as uncharacterized. NCBI's taxonomy places the organism in Eukaryota, Metazoa, Arthropoda, Insecta, Diptera, Culicidae. The record is from RefSeq and is a predicted model, not a curated record. The transcript has 3 exons.
UGGCUCCGAUCGAAAGUGACAGUCCGCCAGACUAACUAGACUGACUCUAGUCCAGAUGUGUCUUUCACGGGUAUUGUAGCAUUCAUUUUAGUCCCACUAAGGCAACGUGAGACAUCGUAGAGGAGACGAAUGUCGUCGGUAUAUGCCGCUUUCUCGCCUUCGUCGGCUAGGGAAUCCGCCCACGCUCUUUUGUCCCGCCCACAUGAGCGUUUCACUUCCUUCUCGAGAACCGAAUAGCGCUGACAGGCUACGGCUUUGGCUUCUCGUGCUUACGCUUGAACUAUCGUGGCUUUGGUAUUCCUUUGCUCCUCUAUCUUCCUCCAGGUAUCAUCUGUGAUCCACUGCUAUGUCCGGGUUCGUAGCUCAUCCAAAUUAUUCUCGCUGGUGGCGAUGAAAGCGUUCUAUAUGGCGCUCCAUUGAUCUUCUACGCUUCCACAUUCGUAGCUUCUAGGUGUCCAAAACAACUGAUUCAGGAGGCGAAAAGUUUCAUCGCGCGGAGCAGGAAUCGAACCAUCACCACACAGCAUGCUACGAUUAGAAGCUUGGUGACCCUAACCGAUUCUGAGAUGAAGAUGCCUACAAAUAUCAAAAAUCGACAGAAAAUGGAUGGAAAUAUAAUCAUUUAAUUUUUCUAGGUACCCGGGUACCUCGCAGGCAUUCCGCACUCUUUCAAAAUUCGGUCAACCUCAUCAAUAGAAAUGCUAGUUUCUAGCAGAUCUAACAAUUUCAAAUUCCUAUAAAAAUAUAUAAUUAGGUACCCUACUAGCCACCUAGGGUUAAAGCUGAUAGGGGUCCUAUAACAAAGCCAAUUUAAAGUUAGCUACAAUGCGACUAUAUUGGGGCCCUUUCCCACUUCAACCCAACUUUAAUUGUAUGUACAUACAGGAUAAUGCUUGCUUUAUGCACACCGUGUUUAUGCAUGCAUUACGGCUUGAGCAGCGUGCUUACUUGGUUAUUUCUCCCCUUGUAGAUAGGUAUACGUCAAACAUCAACCUAGACAAAAAGAAACGCGGCAAAAAGCAUAGCCAAGUUCGUGAGGGUUUGUUGCAUGAGUUGUUACCAUGGUAGCGGUACCUACACCUACUAUGUUUAUUUAUGUAAGGAGGUUCUAUUGCAUUGCAAAUUUAUAACAAAAACGAUGGAAACAUCCACUGAUCAAAUCUUUUCCAGUGCUAUUAUUGGAAGUAGCACAGGGAAACAGAAAUCAAGAUUAUCGCAAUUUUCUGAAUAUCGAGAGGAACGAUACUUUGCAAACGUUUGGGUACAACUUCUUCUCUACAUAAAUGUGCAUUUUUGUGGGAUCUGGCUGGCAUGUAGCAUUAUUGCAUUAUAUUAUCAGUACUGGAACUUAUCGACUAUUCACCGUGUCCUAUCAGUAUUGUCUUUAGUCAUUGCUGCCCCGAUAGAGUGUCUCCGCUUGUAUCUUGGAUACUCAGGAAAUCUUUUGGACAAGGUGCUAUUCUUAUUGCCC